AUUGAACGCUGGCGGCAUGCUUUACACAUGCAAGUCGAACGGUAACAGGUCUUCGGAUGCUGACGAGUGGCGAACGGGUGAGUAAUGUAUCGGAACGUGCCCAGUAGUGGGGGAUAACUACUCGAAAGAGUGGCUAAUACCGCAUGAGAACUGAGGUUGAAAGCGGGGGACCUUCGGGCCUCGCGCUACUGGAGCGGCCGAUAUCAGAUUAGGUAGUUGGUGGGGUAAACGGCCUACCAAGCCGACGAUCUGUAGCUGGUCUGAGAGGACGACCAGCCACACUGGGACUGAGACACGGCCCAGACUCCUACGGAGGCAGCAGUGGGGAAUUUUGGACAAUGGACGCAAGUCUGAUCCAGCAAUGCCGCGUGCAGGACGAAGGCCUU
RNAcentral lists this ribosomal RNA (386 nucleotides) under uncultured bacterium. RNAcentral's name for it is "bacterial SSU rRNA". It matches the Rfam family "Bacterial small subunit ribosomal RNA", at positions 30 to 418 of the family's 1533-position model. The record is from RNAcentral.